CUGAAUUCCCUGGGGCCCCUGAGCAUGCUCCAGCUCGGCUCUCAGGCCUGCACGUGCUGCAUUGACUCCCCAGUCUCAUCAUCAUUGCCCCAAAUUCCUUUCUCUCUCUCUGGCAGGUGACUCUCCAUCUGGGGCCCUCCAGAAGAUGGACUGAGCUCAGAUCUGAGCCUCUUCUUUCUAGCCCCAGCCCCCUAGAAUUGAAUCUCCAUUUAAAAGAAAAACUACACGUCCACAUGGCUGGCGGAGAAACUGGUUAUAGGACCCAUAACAGAGGGCGGUGGCACUGUGCAAACACCUUCUGACUCCAAGCAGGAGAGGUCACUGCUGCCCUGCACCCGGCAGGGUGGACACGUUGAGACCGCCCCAUACUGGACUUCCAGCCCCACCAGGCUUCUAUCUGCACAUGCAGCCUUCACAGUGCUGGGGCAGAGGAACGAAUGAGAGGCAAGACGGGCAUUCAGAGCCCCUCCAUAUCACCCCAACCCUAGCUGCCUGUUCUGUAGAUGGCGUGGCUCACAUGACUUCCCCUCACCUCACUGAGGCUGAAAAGACCGGCUUGAAGCCUCUGGUAAAAUGAGAAGCCUGAUUCUUUUAACCAAAGGCAGAUCCAGAAGUAAGAACUUGGUGGUCUGAUGAUGAACCCAAGUCCACCCCCAAAAUGGGGCUUGCACCUCAUAGGACCUCGGUACCAGAUUCUCUGGGCCCCAGGGCAGCUCUCUACCCUUGGAGACUGAGAAGUGGAUGAGUCAGCACAUUCCUUCUCUGCCUCGCCUCUCUGGCCUGGAAGCAGAAGCAACCAACACCCAUUCCAAACACACGGAUUACACCAUCCCACCUCCACCCAGCUCUGCCUCUUAGGGUGGCACCUGGCCUGCUCUUCUGCAGAGGCCCUUAUGCUCUCUGGGCUUAACCCUCUCACGGAAGCACAGAAACAGAUUCACCUGGCCCCGGAAACGCCUCCCACUCCGCAGUCAGGUCCAGGCAAAAUGCCCUAAGAGGGCAGAGGUAAACUUUUGCCUCCCUUACACGUGAGCUGCCAUCACUAGCUGGGCUCUGUCACACCCAGCAAUUCGUCCUGAGACGGAAGAGGCAUCUCCAAGACUAGGUCCAAGCAGGGCCAGAAGGCACAAGUCACCUGUACAAGCAGAUGGCCCAGACCUCAUGUCAUUUGCCCACUCUAGCCACAUACACAGCCACAAGGGUGGGGGAAAGGCUGCAUUUGGCUCAGCCCAGCUUAUGGGUGAGGGCCAAAAGUUGACCACAGCUUCAUUCAGGGCAGCAGAGCAAUAACCCCCCCUAAGGAAAGAGAAGUGGCCCUGACUUAGGAUCCGCACAGGCUUACAGACAGUAGGGAGUGACUGGGCUGGUUCCUCAAGGGACUGGAAGAGAAAAAUUGGAAGAUGGAGACCAAGGAGUUCUGGGGAAGAGGCGCGUGGAUGGGUCUACGGGCCUGGGCAUAGGGUUAUGUCACAUGGCAAAGUCCACCACAGAGCACCCACCACAAGAGAGGCACUACACAGCCUGCGGUCAGUGUGACCUUCCCAGCCUCUGUCACUGGCCACACAGGCAGGGCAGUCACAGUGGCAGGUGGCAGCUUGUGCACAGGCUCCUGCUCUCCAAGGCUGACCCAGCGCCAGUGUGCUACCUGACAGCCACAGAGGCCCACACUGGGGGGUUGAAACUUCAACGUCCCUCAAGCACCGGGCCAGACGCUCAGUGCUAGGUGACUCUCCUGAGAGGCAGCAGCCAUUCUCCUCAAGUGGAACUGACCCACACAUGGGCUUGGAUUUGCCUUUCCUGCCUGCAGACCUCAGGCAGUGCUUGCAGGAUAUGUGGUCUCUGGUACAGGAUGUCACCCAGCACUGUGACAGACCAAGGGACCCACUUUACAGCAAAGGCAAGGGACCACAGGGCCCCAAUGAUACCACACUCUCAGCCCCAGAGGCUGCGGCCUGCAGGGAGCAAUGGCCACUGCAGUGCCACUGAAGCAUCUGCUGGGGAUGGUUCCAGGGCGGGGGCGCCCUUCUAGAGACAUUGUCUCCCUGGCACCCCGAGGGGAAGGCAGCACGGACACUCAGGGGUGAGAGCCUGAGUGGCCCAACUUAACCAUGACUUCCAGGAACCCACCUGGACUAUUUCAGUGUCCCACCCGCAGCCCUGUGGCUUAGAGAUCCUGGUGUCCAGAGAAGGAGGCACUUCCACCAGUGACACUGAGAGUCCAUCAGACUCUGAGCUCUGGCUACUGGGGCUCCUGCUGCUGAGGGACCCACAGGAAAGCUGAGAUGUCACCAUCCCGCCUAAUUGACCCUGGUCAUUGGGGAAAGUAGAGUGUUCUACACAGUGGCUGGCAAGAAUACAUUUGGUGCCCAGGUGGUCCCCAGGGUACAUCUUGGUUCUUCUGCACCCAGUUUUGACAAGAAGGGGGUGGUAAGCUGGGGCUCAGGCCUCUCCAGGGUGAGGGUCUCAGUCAUCCCACCGGCUAAAUCACCUGGACUGGCAGAGGUGCAAGGGCAGGUGAGGGAACACUGGGGCAGGAAGGACACUGAGCAUUGUUACACCCUCAAGAUGAGCUGCAGGGAGGAGGGAGCUGAACUUUACCCUCUACCUUCUGUAACAUUCAUAAGGAACAGAAGCCCCAAAGAAUCUGAAGAAUCUGCUUCCAGAACUUAUCACACGAAGCUAGCAAAUCAGAGUGGUACAGGCCCAACUAUCCUUGACUUCCAGGACUAGAGCCCAUGGCUCCCCCUGAGAUCUGGCCUCAGCUGCAGAGCCAUCUCACCCAAGGUCACACUCUCCUCAUAAGGACAGCUUGCAUUCCAAGACUGGUCAUUGUAGGGUGAAGAGGCCCAACACCCUCACCCCCAGGCAGGUCAACAGAACUAGGAAGAGCCCACAGCUCUCCCUCGGAAGAACUGCAGGCUUUGUCACCCUGAACUCCAUUCAGGUCCUGGCCCUGGCCAGGUUUGUUCUCUACACUCCCUAGAGGUGCUGAUCCCAAGCUACCCCCAGCAAACCUCUCUCUCAAAGCUCUGCUGAAUCUGCUCUCCAGGAACAAACCUGAGACGAGGGAGGCUCAGCUGACCAGCCUUCAUUUCAGCUUUCAGCUUUGGAAUAUGAUUCUCUCCAUGCUCAGGGCAGCAAGAAAUGAGAUUUUACUUUCCUACAAGUCAACCCAUUCUGCUGAGGUGGUAGACCCUUGCCUUGGAGUGGAGUCCACAUUUGGGGGCUCGCUCAAACUGGACUACGGCCCCUCAAGAAGCCCCCAGAAGUUCCAUCCUCAGCACACAGGCCCUCUCAGUUCCAAGUUCUGGGCUCCCAAGGAAACCCUGCACUCCACAGGCCUUUCCUCCCAAACCCUCUUGCUCAGUCAAAAGUCGUGAAUGGGAGGGUGGGGCAAAUGUGGUUCAGGGAAUUUGUUUGUACCCUGAAGUUUUAAAUUAGUUAUCAACAUUUAAAAAUUACAUUUAAUAAACUCCACAGU
Molecule: long non-coding RNA, 3481 nt
Organism: Nycticebus coucang (slow loris)
Lineage: Eukaryota; Metazoa; Chordata; Mammalia; Primates; Lorisidae
Exons: 3
Source: RefSeq, a predicted model, not a curated record